UCCCCAUCAAUUCUUGUGCUUGACUAU
This 27-nucleotide non-coding RNA is filed under the name Mus musculus (house mouse). The record is from RNAcentral. Lineage: Eukaryota; Metazoa; Chordata; Mammalia; Rodentia; Muridae.